Molecule: long non-coding RNA, 321 nt
Filed under: Homo sapiens (human)
Lineage: Eukaryota; Metazoa; Chordata; Mammalia; Primates; Hominidae
Description: HSALNT0399632
Source: RNAcentral
GAAGAAAGACAAGGAGGAACAUAGAAUGAAAAGCAGAUUAAAAUGAAGGGUACGUGCUGAAGGCUGGUUGGUCCACACGAUCAGACCCAGCUGGAUGUCUUAUACCUCCUCUUCUUUGUCAGUAGACUCCUGAAUUAUUAAGUUCAAUAAGAAAGGAAAGGGAUGGAAAGGAUUCGGAGUGUCUUAUUUCAGGUGUAAACCUUUAUGAUGUCUUCGUAUAUUCCUGUACCGCGUGCAAGCAUUGGAGGUUUGUGGCUGGAAAUCCUUCAAAGGUGACAAUGUACAGAAGAGUUGAUAUGAAUCAAGACUGGAUGAAUGAAG